This 800-nucleotide ribosomal RNA is filed under the name Bacillus subtilis. Its description in RNAcentral is "bacterial SSU rRNA". It matches the Rfam family "Bacterial small subunit ribosomal RNA", at positions 32 to 819 of the family's 1533-position model. The record is from RNAcentral. Lineage: Bacteria; Bacillati; Bacillota; Bacilli; Caryophanales; Bacillaceae.
GUCCCAUGCGCGUGCUAUAAUGCAGUCGAGCGGACAGAUGGGAGCUUGCUCCCUGAUGUUAGCGGCGGACGGGUGAGUAACACGUGGGUAACCUGCCUGUAAGACUGGGAUAACUCCGGGAAACCGGGGCUAAUACCGGAUGGUUGUUUGAACCGCAUGGUUCAAACAUAAAAGGUGGCUUCGGCUACCACUUACAGAUGGACCCGCGGCGCAUUAGCUAGUUGGUGAGGUAACGGCUCACCAAGGCGACGAUGCGUAGCCGACCUGAGAGGGUGAUCGGCCACACUGGGACUGAGACACGGCCCAGACUCCUACGGGAGGCAGCAGUAGGGAAUCUUCCGCAAUGGACGAAAGUCUGACGGAGCAACGCCGCGUGAGUGAUGAAGGUUUUCGGAUCGUAAAGCUCUGUUGUUAGGGAAGAACAAGUACCGUUCGAAUAGGGCGGUACCUUGACGGUACCUAACCAGAAAGCCACGGCUAACUACGUGCCAGCAGCCGCGGUAAUACGUAGGUGGCAAGCGUUGUCCGGAAUUAUUGGGCGUAAAGGGCUCGCAGGCGGUUUCUUAAGUCUGAUGUGAAAGCCCCCGGCUCAACCGGGGAGGGUCAUUGGAAACUGGGGAACUUGAGUGCAGAAGAGGAGAGUGGAAUUCCACGUGUAGCGGUGAAAUGCGUAGAGAUGUGGAGGAACACCAGUGGCGAAGGCGACUCUCUGGUCUGUAACUGACGCUGAGGAGCGAAAGCGUGGGGAGCGAACAGGAUUAGAUACCCUGGUAGUCCACGCCGUAAACGAUGAGUGCUAA